RNAcentral lists this ribosomal RNA (440 nucleotides) under uncultured bacterium. Its description in RNAcentral is "bacterial SSU rRNA". It matches the Rfam family "Bacterial small subunit ribosomal RNA", at positions 338 to 795 of the family's 1533-position model. The record is from RNAcentral.
CCUACGGGUUGCAGCAGUGGGGAAUAUUGGACAAUGGGCGAAAGCCUGAUCCAGCAAUGCCGCGUGUGUGAAGAAGGUCUUCGGAUUGUAAAGCACUUUCGACGGGGACGAUGAUGACGGUACCCGUAGAAGAAGCCCCGGCUAACUUCGUGCCAGCAGCCGCGGUAAUACGAAGGGGGCUAGCGUUGCUCGGAAUGACUGGGCGUAAAGGGCGCGUGGGCGGUUUAUGCAGUCAGAUGUGAAAUCCCCUGGCUUAACCGGGGAACUGCGGUUGAGACGCAUAGACUAGUGGUCGAGAGAGGGUUGUGGAAUUCCCAGUGUAGAGGUGAAAUUCGUAGAUAUUGGGAAGAACACCGGUGGCGAAGGCGGCAACCUGGCUCGAUACUGACGCUGAGGCGCGAAAGCGCGGGGAGCAAACAGGAUUAGAUACCCCUGUAGUC